AGCGAACGCUGGCGGCAGGCCUAAAACAAUGCAAGUCGAACGCCUGUAGCAAUACAGGAGUGGCAGACGGGUGAGUAACACGUGGGUAAUUUACCUUUGGGUGGGGAAUGGCAGCCGGAAACGGCUAUUAAUACCGCAUAAUGCAGCGGCUCGACAUCGAGACAGUUGUUAAAGCAGGGAUCUGACAAGGACCUCGCGACCUAAAGAGAAGCCUGCGUCAGAUUAGCUAGUUGGUAGGUAAUGGCCUACCAAGGCUGUGAUCUGUAGCCGGCCUGAGAGGGCGGUCGGCCACACUGACACUGACAC
This 306-nucleotide ribosomal RNA is filed under the name uncultured bacterium. RNAcentral's name for it is "bacterial SSU rRNA". It matches the Rfam family "Bacterial small subunit ribosomal RNA", at positions 29 to 325 of the family's 1533-position model. The record is from RNAcentral.